Molecule: RNA transcript, 2874 nt
Organism: Diospyros lotus (date-plum)
Lineage: Eukaryota; Viridiplantae; Streptophyta; Magnoliopsida; Ericales; Ebenaceae
Gene name: general transcription factor IIH subunit 2
Exons: 5
Source: RefSeq, a predicted model, not a curated record
GAAACUCCUUACACAACCCUUACUCUUCCCCCACUUCAUCCCCAAUCCCGUUCAGCCAUAGAGAGAGGGCCGCCCUUCCGCCGCCGUCCGCCGCACCUCUUCCCUCCGCCGCUACAGCACCGUUCUGCCGCCGCCGCUGCCGCACUGCUCCGCAACCGCAGCUGCCGCAUCGCUCCGCCACCGCUGCUGCAGGUAAGUUAAUAUGUGCGUGUAUAUAUAUAUAUAUAUAUACAUAGUGUUUUACCUAAUUAUUGAAGUUAGAUCUACCAAAAAAAAGAGCCGUUGGAUGAUAUUGAGAUUUUUGAGUAUGUUAGUCAAGGUGAUCAGGGAGACCGAUUAUAGAUUCCGAUCACCGAAAAGCACUGGCCAUCGUGGCCAACGGAGUUUCGCCGGAAAAUUUUAAAUAUACCUAAAAUUAAAAUUUAGAUCUACUAAAAUCCAACUGUUGGAUUUCUCUAGUUUUUGGAUAUGUGAUUCACCGUACUUGGGAGAAACUGACGAUCAAUCUUGAAGGUUGGAAUCACCAGCCACAUUCAAUGGGGUUACUUUCCCUUUAUUUUCUCUUCUAUAAUGGGUUCCAAGCAAUGGCUCUCUGUAGGCUUGCAUUUGACUAAAAGGAGACAGGUAAAAAUUCAGUUCUAGUUCUUUUGCAUUACUAUACCACCAGUUCUGAUUUUGCUUUUGCAUAUAUAGAUUGUCUUAUUUUUGGUUUGCUAACUUUCUAGGGUUUCUUCUUAAUCAAAGAACAGAUUUUUGUUACUGCUCCCAAAAUGAAGACUGAAUGUUCUAGUUUUAAUUUUGCAUUUUAAUUCAUUAUUUUGGCAGAUUUCCAUUAAAAACUUUUGUAUUUGUAGGAAGUAUGUACAAUAGCGAACACAGAGAAAUUAACAAUGGUGAAGGAAGGCGGCUUAACCGAGAAGUUGAAGCUGAGGAUGAUGAUGAAGAGGAAGAGGAAAAUGGAAGAGGCCUAAAUGCUUGGGAGCGAGUUUAUGCAGAUGACAGAUCUUGGGAGUCUCUGCAAGAGGAUGAAUCUGGGCUUCUUCGUUCUGUUGACAACAAAACCCUCUACCAUGCACAGUAUCGCAGGCGCCUACGAUCUCUCUCCUCUGCUUCAACUGGUGCUCGAUUUCAAAAGGGCCUCAUUCGCUACCUUUAUAUUGUUGUUGACCUCUCCAGGGCUGCUGCAGAAAUGGAUUUUAAACCAAGCCGAAUGGCUGUAUUGGCAAAACAAAUUGAGGUUUUCAUUAGAGAAUUCUUUGACCAGAAUCCAUUGAGCCAAAUUGGCCUGGUAACUAUUAAAGAUGGAGUUGCGCAGUGUCUAACUGAUCUUGGUGGCAGUCCUGAGUCUCAUAUUAAAGCUCUGAUGGGUAAGUUGGAGUGUUCUGGUGAUUCCUCUCUGCAGAAUGCCCUGGAUCUCGUUCAUGACUAUCUAUGUCAAAUCCCAUCAUAUGGCCAUCGCGAAGUUCUUAUUUUGUAUUCAGCGCUUAGUACUUGUGAUCCAGGGGAUAUAAUGGAAACCAUCCAGAAGUGCAAGAAAUCUAAAAUAAGAUGCUCAGUUAUUGGUCUUUCAGCAGAAAUCUUUAUAUGCAAAUAUCUCUGCCAAGAAACUGGAGGUUCAUACUCUGUUGCAUUGGAUGAGUCCCACUUGAAAGAUUUGUUGUUGGAGCAUGCACCACCACCCCCGGCAAUAGCCGAAUUUGCAAUUGCAAAUUUGAUCAAGAUGGGAUUCCCUCAAAGGGCAGCGGAAGGUGUUAUUUCCAUUUGUUCAUGUCAUAAAGAGGCUAAGGUUGGGGUUGGCUACACUUGUCCAAGAUGCAAAGCACGUGUUUGCGAAUUACCUACUGAAUGUCGCAUUUGCGGUCUGACCCUUGUUUCUUCUCCGCAUUUGGCGAGGUCAUAUCACCACCUCUUCCCAAUAACACCAUUUGAUGAUGUGUCUCCCUCAAUUUCAAAUGAUCCACAUCAUAGGCUACCAAAAAAUUGUUUUGGAUGCCAGCAAAGUCUUCAUGAUCCUGAAGGUAUAGUGGGUUUUCAGCCUUAAAACAACUUGUCUGAUAAAUGUGUCCUCGCUUUGUGUUUCUGGAGUGGUUGAUGACUGAUUUGAAACCGGAAGCAAUCAGGUUGCGAGAGCUUCAGGCAAUCAAAGUCGGCUAAUGAUGCUGAAGAAUGAAUCUCCUGAGCUCUAAUUUGUUUGCCACUCAACGAUGAGUUGCACAAGUUCGUCACUGCAACUGAAUGAUGACUGAUUGCUAUUCAAGAUCCAAUAUUUUUGUCCCGCUCCAAAAAUGCUUUCUGAUUGUUUUCAUGGGUGGAUAUCAAGUACAAGCUCACAAAUCCAUUGCAGAUAACCAGCCUUCCCACUGAACAGAUUGGACCAUUUUUGUGCGACAUUAGAACCGGAAUUCCUGUUACACGUUGAGUUCUGAAUUGCAGUGACCAUUGUCGGAAAUGGGUUCUGUUCUACAAGGGGGGUGAAUUUUCAGCGUUCCUGAAUUGAUUCGCAAAUGGCUGGAUUUGGAAACUUGGAUCAAAAUGCCACAACCUGGAUUUAGUUUCUGAUGAAGGAUGGAUCCGAGUCCUCGGCAGGCUCUGCCACUGUCUUCUUGUAACGAUUUUUUUUAUAAGUUAAUUCCAACACUCUGGUUGAGAUUCGGCCGGGAUUUUGGAACUCUAAACUUAGGACGGUGGUUGUCCUCUGAAUUAGUAUUUGCUUUUGGCAAUGGUGUGGCUGCUGCCCUGGAGAUUUGCUUUGCUGCCUCUUUGGCCAUGAUGUGAGUUCAAAUUAAAUCACUUUUGAGUAGAUAGAAACACAGAAGUGUUUUUUCUUUUUUUGGUACUAAAGUCAAUAAUAAAAAAGUGUUUUCAUUUACUGAA